RNAcentral lists this transfer RNA (74 nucleotides) under Bacillus paranthracis. RNAcentral's name for it is "tRNA-Pro". It matches the Rfam family "tRNA". Rfam says of the family: Transfer RNA (tRNA) molecules are approximately 80 nucleotides in length. The record is from RNAcentral. Lineage: Bacteria; Bacillati; Bacillota; Bacilli; Caryophanales; Bacillaceae.
GCGCCCGUAGCUCAAUUGGAUAGGGCGUUUGACUAGGGAUCAAGAGAUUAGGGGUUCGACUGCUCUCGGGCGCG